Molecule: non-coding RNA, 3330 nt
Organism: Cherax quadricarinatus
Lineage: Eukaryota; Metazoa; Arthropoda; Malacostraca; Decapoda; Parastacidae
Source: RefSeq, a predicted model, not a curated record
CAAAAAAGAUUUGAGGCACAUGGGAGGGAAAUUGGCUUGCUUGUCCUGCCAUGAUGGCUGGCCAUAUUAGAGCACAAAGUGAAAAUAUGUAAAGCUGCUAUGCAAGGUGGGGAAUCUCCAGAGCAAAAGGUACAAAUAGAUCAAAAAAUGAAUCAUGAACAGGUGGAGACAUGGUCAGUGGAGGCAUAAAGGUGUUGUUCUGCUGUAUUUGUAAUAGGCAACAAAGGAUCCUCACAGGCCUGUCUCACUGACAAGUGUUGUGGAAAUUGCUGGAAAGAGUAAUUAUAGAUUAGCUUGUAAAACACUUGGAGAACAGAGAAAUAAUUACUAGCAAACAUUUUCAUUUUUGAUAAAUUAAUUCCUGUAUAUCAAAUCUGUAGCAGUCAUAUAAAUUAUUAACGAAUGAAAUGGGUAUGUAUUUUAACAAAUUAGAUGGGUAUACAUUUUGCUUUUAAGGUCUUCAGUAGAGUUCCUCAUGAAAUGUUUAUCUGAAAACUAAAAAAAAUAAAUAGUUUAAGAAGUUAACUAUUACUGUAGAUGGAAGAUUUUUUGUUUCAUCAGAGUGAGGCCAAAUCCUAGUGCCCUAGAUGAACUACCCUGGUUAAAUUUCCUGCCAUAAGUGGAGAAAUAGAUGAGAUAUACUCACCCUGCCAGCAAGAAAGUGUCUGUAGUAUUUAUUUACUGAAAUUCAAAACUAAGGCUCCGAAAAAUCUGGUGUAUGUUACUGGUCUUGGUCCCACUACUGGACAACACCCUCAUCCUGGUCACCUCCUCAGGGGUGCCUGUAGCCUUGCACCUCAGUGGCGUUGCUGGCUUCCAGACAUUGGCUCACCAUCACAGUGAGGAAAACGGUGGCUUAUGGAAAUUUGUGGCAAGUGGUGGUGUGUCACUGGGAACAAGUGUUGUGGUGGGUCAGCAGCACUCAUUAGUUCUUGAGAGCCAGUUCCUGUGGUCUUUUGACUUUCCUGUCAGUGCUGCCUAUGAGUAUGAGGAUGAGGCAGUUCGGGUGAAUAUAAACUUUCCAGAGGACUGGAAGGGUCGGAUGUGGCAACGACGACGAGAUACAUCUUUGGCUGGCAAGACCUUGCAACUCAGGUCCUUGUUUGAUAUUAUAUGUCUAUCUUCCUAUCUGUCUGUCUUUCUGCAUGUCUCUCUAUAUAUCUUUCUAUCUAUCAUUCUGUUUCUGUCUAUCUCUAUAUCUCUGGCUCUAUCUUUAUCUAUCUCUCUACAUCAAUGGUCUCCCCAAUGCAUCUCAACUCCUUAAACCAGUUCUGUUCACAGAUGACACUACUUAUGUCUUCUCCCACUCAAACCUGGCUAUACCUAGAGAUACUGUAAACAAUGAGCUGCAAAAAAAUACCAACUUGGAUGACCAACAAACUUACUCUCAGUAUAGACAAAACCUACUUAAUGCUUUUUGGAAACAGGGCCUUAAAUAUCCAACUUAACAUAUCGAUAAAUGGUUUCCCCAUUACAAGACACACUGAGGGUAAAUUUCAGGUACUACCGUCUUGCCAAGUAAGUGUAAAACGAGAGCCUGUAAUUGUUUUACAUGAUGGUGGAAUUGCUGGUGUCUUUUGUCUGUCUCAUAAAUAUGCAAGAUUACGGGUAGGUCUUGCUACUACUACAUACACUUAGGUCACAUUACACAUACAUGUUCACGUUUAUUUAUACACACUCAUCUGAGUUUUCUUUGAUUUUAUCUUAAUAGUUCUUAGUACUUUUUCUUUUAUAUCCAUGGGGAAGUGGAAUAAGAAUCUUUCCUCCGUAAGCCAUGCAUGUUGUAAAAGUUAACUAAAAUGCCGGGAACAAUGGGCUAGUAACCCUUUUCCCUGUAAUGAUUACUAAAAAGAAUAAGAAGAAAAUUGUCAGAGUGGGAUGUCUGAAUGUGCGUGGAUGUUGUGCCAAUGAUAAGAGAUGAUUGUGGAUGCUAUGACUGAAAAGAAGCUGGAUGUCCUGGCUUUAAGUGAAACAAAGAUGAAGGAGGUGGGAGAGUUUCAGUGGAGAGAAGUAAAUGGAAUUAGGUCAAUGGUUUCAAAUAGAGUUAAAGCUAAAGAAGGAGUAGCAAUAAUAUUGAAGGAUAAGCUAUGGCAGGAAAAGAGGGAAUAUAAAUCUAUUAAUUCAAUGAUUACAUGGAGUAAAAUAAAGGUUGGAUGUGAAAAGUGGGUUAUAGCAAGCAUAUAUGCACCAGGAGAAGAGAGAAGUGUAGAGGAGAGAGGUUUUGGGAAUUAUUGAGUGAGUGUGUGGAGAGUUUUGAGCCAAGUGUGAGAGUACUUGUGGUUGGGGAUUUCAAUGCUAAAGUGGGUAAAAAUGUUAUGGAGGGAGUAGUAGGUAACUUUGGGGUGCCAGGGGUAAAUGAAAAUGGGGAGCCUUUAAUGGAGCUAUGUGUAGAAAGAGGUUUGGUAAUAAGUAAUACAUAUUUUAUGAAAAAGAGGAUAAAUAUACAAGGUAUGAUAUAGCACGUAAUGAAAGUACAGUGGACCCCCGCAUAACGAUUACCUCCGAAUGCGACCAAUUAUGUAAGUGUCCUGUAAAGAUUUCUAAAAAGAAUAAGAAGAAGAAAAUUGUCAAAGUGGGAAGUCUGAAUGUGCGUGGAUGUUGUGCAAAUGAUAAGAAAGAGAUGAUUGUGGAUGUUAUGAAUGAUAAGAAACUGGAUGUCCUGGCUUUAAGUGAAACAAAGCUGAAGGGGGUGGGAGAGUUUCAAUGGAGAGGAAUAAAUGGGAUUAGGUCAGGGGUUUCAAAUAGAGUUAGAGCUAAAGAAGGAAUAGCAGUAAUGUUGAAGGAUAAGCUAUGACAGGAAAAGAGGGACUACAAAUGUAUAAAUUCAAGGAUUAUGUGGAGUAAAAUAAAGAUUGGAUGUGAAAAGUGGGUUAUAGUAAGCGUGUAUGCACCUGGAGAAGAGAGAAGUGUAGAGGAGAGAGAGAGAUUCUGGGAAAUGUUAAGUGAAUGCAUGGGGAGUUUUGAAUCAAGUGUGAGAGUAAUGGUGGUUGGGGAUUUCAAUGCUAAAGUGGGUAAAAAUGUUAUGGAGGGAGUAGUAGGUAAAUUUGGGGUGCCAGGGGUAAAUGGAAAUGGGGAGCCUUUAAUUGAGCUAUGUGUAGAAAGAAAUUUGGUAAUAAGUAAUACAUAUUUUAUGAAAAAGAGGAUAAAUAAAUAUACAAGGUAUGAUGUAGCACGUAAUGAAAGUAGUUUGUUAGAUUAUGUAUUGGUAGAUAAAAGGAUGAUGGGUAGGCUCCAGGAUGUACAUGUUUAUAGAGGGGCAACUGAUAUAUCGGAUCAUUAUUUAGUUGUAGCUACAGUUAGAGUAAGAGGUAGAUGGGAAAAGAGGAAGGU